UACGGAGGAUGCAAGCGUUAUCCGGAAUGAUUGGGCGUAAAGCGUCCGCAGGUGGCUGUGUAAGUCUGCUGUUAAAGAGUCUAGCUCAACUAGAUACAAGCAGUAGAAACUACACGGCUAGAGUACGUUCGGGGCAGAGGGAAUUCCUGGUGUAGCGGUGAAAUGCGUAGAGAUCAGGAAGAACACCGGUGGCGAAGGCGCUCUGCUAGGCCGUAACUGACACUGAGGGACGAAAGCUAGGGGAGCGAAUGGG
Molecule: ribosomal RNA, 253 nt
Filed under: uncultured bacterium
Lineage: Bacteria
Description: partial 16S ribosomal RNA
Rfam family: Bacterial small subunit ribosomal RNA
Source: RNAcentral